UGCCACGCUUUUGCCCGCGGCUUCCGCCAGAGAACGAAUCGCCGCAAAUGAUGCAAGUGACGUUUUGCUGUUGGAGCACAACGGUCGGCUGAAAUGGGUCGCAGGAAAUCAAUCGCACUCGUAUUACGCAACAUAAAGCUAAUGUGUGUGUGUGUUGGUCGAAGUGUUCUUAAAGAGCUUUUUUUCUCUCUCUAAGGGGGUUUCAAAUCAAUUGUGAAGAAACGGAAGCAGUCUGGUUCGUACAGGAAUGAUCAAAUAUGAACGAGCUAAUUCUUGGUAUGACUUCCAAUGCCCGGAAAAGUGCAUCAUACAAUGUGGCAAUCAGUGCAAUCAUGCCUGCAAGCUAAAUUGUAGAGGCAGUGUACUUAUCUUACGCUGGAUUGCACACGCGUUCUGUAAAUGCCACUCGUGGCGGUACCUCGUUACUUGAUGAGAGACGUCUUUCUCCUACUGGAUUUACCAUCCUCACAACUCCGAAGCCUUUGCCAAACCGCGCGAAUGUCAGAUACGGCCCAGAAUUAACAAGACAACCGGUGGUCAAUGAAGAAUUCGUAACUCCUUCUCAAUCACAAACUAUUGCUAGCGAAGCACGACUUUGAACCUCAACAAAACCCCCACCAUCAGUCCCAAACUUCCUUCGAGAAAUCUGACGUAAGGAUGCAAAGAUCUCGCCCGCCCAAGAGACAACGCUUCGCUCGAGCGUUUUAGCUCCCGUGGGAAAGAAAAACCGGGCAGCGGGUUUCGGGCACCCGGAACAACGCCCAAACGAUCGGGUUGCGGGUAAAGCAGUGCCGCGUAGCUACGUGCCGAAACACUCGAAAAAGCUCAUCCGGUUCGUUCUUAGGGCGAGAGGCAAAACAUCGGGGUGAAAAGGAAGCGAUUGGAAAGGAUUUAAGGGGAACCGGUUGCAUUGGAGUGGAAGCGAAGACGCGACCCUUGAAGCAGUCGGUAAAGUAGACACUGGCGGUAUGGGACUCCACUCGGACGAAUCUGGCAGAAUGCGAGAAAGCGCGGACAAUGAUCGUUGCAAAACUGUUCGUAUCGAUUCAUUAUGCUCCAGGGAUGGGAGUUCGAUGCAACAACAGCAACAGGAGAAAAAAAAAGAGCCGGGUUAUAAUAAAAUCAAUUGCUUGCAAGUGAAGCAUCAACUAUAGAUGCGCCGGAAGAACAGUAACUCGCCUACAACAGUUACAGACAGCUUCUU
Anopheles stephensi (Asian malaria mosquito) is the source of this 1204-nucleotide long non-coding RNA. RefSeq lists it as uncharacterized. The record is from RefSeq and is a predicted model, not a curated record. NCBI's taxonomy places the organism in Eukaryota, Metazoa, Arthropoda, Insecta, Diptera, Culicidae. The transcript has 3 exons.